Molecule: ribosomal RNA, 463 nt
Filed under: uncultured Bacillota bacterium
Lineage: Bacteria; Bacillati; Bacillota
Description: bacterial SSU rRNA
Rfam family: Bacterial small subunit ribosomal RNA
Source: RNAcentral
GAUGGGCCUGUGGCCGAUUAGCUGGUUGGUGGGGUAACAGCUCACCAAGGCGACGAUCGGUAGCUGGUCUGAGAGGACGAUCAGCCACACUGGGAUUGAGAACGGCCCAGACUCCUACGGGGGGCAGCAGUGAGGAAUUUUCCGCAAUGGAGGCAACUCUGACGGAGCAACGCCGCGUGCAGGAGGACGCUUUUCGGAGUGUAAACUGCUUUUCUGUGGGACGAGGAUGGACGGUACCACAGGAAGAAGCCCCGGCUAACUACGUGCCAGCAGCCGCGGUAAUACGUAGGGGGCGAGCGUUGUCCGGAGUUACUGGGCGUAAAGGGCACGCAGGCGGUGCGGCGCGUUUCGCGUGACAGCGGAGGGCUUAACUCUCCGAGGAUGCGAAAGACGGCGGCACUUGAGGGCCAGAGAGGGACACGGAAUUCCGGGUGGAGUGGUGAAAUGCGUAGAGAUCCGGAGG